CCAGCAGCCGCGGUAAUUCCGGCUCCAAUAGCGUAUAUUAAAGUUGUUGCAGUUAAAAAGCUCGUAGUUGGAUUUCUGGUAGGAUGACUGUGCCCUCAGCAGAGCGUGCGCAGGCGUCUUGCCAUCCUUCUGUUAACCUUUGAGAGCUUCAUCGCUCUCUUUGGGGCUCAGAUAUUUUACCUUGAGAAAAUUAGAGUGUUUCAGGCAGGCUAGCGCCGGAAUACAUUAGCAUGGAAUAACGAAUGUGUCUGGAAUAUUGGUUAAUUCUAGAUUACGAUUAAUAGGGACAGUUGGGGGCAUUAGUAUUUAAUUGUCAGAGGUGGAAUUCUUGGAUUUAUUAAAGACUAACGUAUGCGAAAGCAUUUGCCAAGGAUGUUUUCAUUAAUCAAGAACGAACAU
Molecule: ribosomal RNA, 399 nt
Filed under: uncultured eukaryote
Lineage: Eukaryota
Description: SSU rRNA
Rfam family: Eukaryotic small subunit ribosomal RNA
Source: RNAcentral